This 684-nucleotide ribosomal RNA is filed under the name Hygrocybe jackmanii. Its description in RNAcentral is "eukaryotic LSU rRNA". It matches the Rfam family "Eukaryotic large subunit ribosomal RNA", at positions 1 to 667 of the family's 3401-position model. The record is from RNAcentral. Lineage: Eukaryota; Fungi; Basidiomycota; Agaricomycetes; Agaricales; Hygrophoraceae.
CAAAUCAGGUAGGACUACCCGCUGAACUUAAGCAUAUCAAUAAGCGGAGGAAAAGAAACUAACAAGGAUUCCCCUAGUAACUGCGAGUGAAGCGGGAAAAGCUCAAAUUUAAAAUCUGGCGUUCCCCCGGACGUCCGAGUUGUAAUCUAGAGAAGUGUUUUCCGUGCCGGACCGUGUACAAGUCUCUUGGAAUGGAGCGUCGUAGAGGGUGACAAUCCCGUCUUUGACACGGAUCGCCGGUGCUUUUGUGAUGCGCUCUCGAAGAGUCGAGUUGUUUGGGAAUGCAGCUCAAAAUGGGUGGUAAAUUCCAUCUAAAGCUAAAUACAGGCGAGAGACCGAUAGCGAACAAGUACCGUGAGGGAAAGAUGAAAAGAACUUUGAAAAGAGAGUUAAACAGUACGUGAAAUUGUUGAAAGGGAAACGAUUCAAGUCAGUCGCGUCGUCCAGUAAUCAACCCUUUGCGUAAGAGGGCUCACUUUCUGGGCUGACGGGUCAGCGUCAAUUUUGAUUGUCGGAUAAAGGCACGAGGAAUGUGGCAUCUUCGGAUGUGUUAUAGCCUCUUGUCGCAUGCGACGGUUGGGAUUGAGGAUCUCGACACGCCGCAAGGUCGGGGCUUCGUGCCCACGUAACGUGUCUCGGAUGCUGGCAUAAUGGCUUGAACCGACCCGUCUUGAAACACGGACC